This 64-nucleotide transfer RNA is filed under the name Anobiinae sp. BMNH 1274383. Its description in RNAcentral is "Anobiidae sp. BMNH 1274383 tRNA-Asn". The record is from RNAcentral. Lineage: Eukaryota; Metazoa; Arthropoda; Insecta; Coleoptera; Ptinidae.
UUAAUUGAAACCAAAAAGAGGUAAAUUACUGUUAAUAAUUUUAUUGAGUUAUACUCCAAUUAAA